GAUCUUAGAAAAGUCGGGCGCAACCUCCACAAUCAAUCCCAUCAUCCUCUGUGGCUGAUCAAGGAGCGAAUCAAAGCUCACUUCUACAGUUCGUACAUGGGCCGAUGGGGGAACCCGCUGUUCUCCGUCCACGACAACCUGAGCCCGGUCGUCACCGUGGAGCAGAACUUCGACAGCUUACUGAUCCCGCCCACCC
Sphaeramia orbicularis (orbiculate cardinalfish) is the source of this 196-nucleotide long non-coding RNA. RefSeq lists it as uncharacterized. Lineage: Eukaryota; Metazoa; Chordata; Actinopteri; Kurtiformes; Apogonidae. The transcript has 3 exons. The record is from RefSeq and is a predicted model, not a curated record.